RNAcentral lists this long non-coding RNA (516 nucleotides) under Homo sapiens (human). RNAcentral describes it as "non-protein coding lnc-FRK-1:3". Lineage: Eukaryota; Metazoa; Chordata; Mammalia; Primates; Hominidae. The record is from RNAcentral.
GGCAGGAGAUAAUGAAAACAAUGAUGCACGUGAGACAUUUGGAGGUGGAAAUAGCAGAACUUGCCAACUGUUUGGCUAUGUGGGCCAGGAAGAAUUAUGUAUCAAGGAUGUCCUCCAGGAGUAAUUAAAAUAUGGGACUACAGAAAGGAAGCUGGUGGGUAGUGGUGAUCAUAGGAGCUUGUUAGUUAAUCAGUUUAAGAUGUCAUGAAACAUUUAAUUUGAGAUGUUAACUAAAGACUGCUGUUAGCUUUUGGCAACGUGGAGGCCCUAAAGAAGAGCAUCUUCACCUGACAAGUGGGAUCAACAGUAGACUGCAGUGGGUUGAGGCACAAGUGAGAGAUAUGAGGUUGGGGGCAACAUUUAUUGGACUGACAACUUUUUCCAACAUGGAGCUGUGAAGGUUGAUUGAUGGCAUCACAUCGAAGAACACUCUGGGGGGAGCUGUUUAUCCCCAUCUUCCAUCUGGAGCUGCUGGGAUAGAGUUCACUGUGAUGAUGGCUACUGAAUGAGCUGCAC